RNAcentral lists this unclassified non-coding RNA (700 nucleotides) under Aspergillus creber. Its description in RNAcentral is "sequence contains ITS1, 5.8S rRNA gene, ITS2". The stretch from base 212 to 365 matches the Rfam family "5.8S ribosomal RNA". Lineage: Eukaryota; Fungi; Ascomycota; Eurotiomycetes; Eurotiales; Aspergillaceae. The record is from RNAcentral.
UGGAAGUAAAAAUCGUAACAAGGUUUCCGUAGGUGAACCUGCGGAAGGAUCAUUACCGAGUGCGGGCUGCCUCCGGGCGCCCAACCUCCCACCCGUGACUACCUAACACUGUUGCUUCGGCGGGGAGCCCUCUCGGGGGCGAGCCGCCGGGGACUACUGAACUUCAUGCCUGAGAGUGAUGCAGUCUGAGUCUGAAUAUAAAAUCAGUCAAAACUUUCAACAAUGGAUCUCUUGGUUCCGGCAUCGAUGAAGAACGCAGCGAACUGCGAUAAGUAAUGUGAAUUGCAGAAUUCAGUGAAUCAUCGAGUCUUUGAACGCACAUUGCGCCCCCUGGCAUUCCGGGGGGCAUGCCUGUCCGAGCGUCAUUGCUGCCCAUCAAGCCCGGCUUGUGUGUUGGGUCGUCGUCCCCCCCGGGGGACGGGCCCGAAAGGCAGCGGCGGCACCGUGUCCGGUCCUCGAGCGCAUGGGGCUUUGUCACCCGCUCGAUUAGGGCCGGCCGGGCGCCAGCCGACGUCUCCAACCAUUUUUUUCAGGUUGACCUCGGAUCAGGUAGGGAUACCCGCUGAACUUAAGCAUAUCAAUAAGCGGAGGAAAAGAAACCAACCGGGAUUGCCCCAGUAACGGCGAGUGAAGCGGCAAGAGCUCAAAUUUGAAAUCUGGCCCCUCCGGGGUCCGAGUUGUAAUUUGCAGAGGAUGCUUC